UACGAAGGGGACUAGCGUUGUUCGGAAUCACUGGGCGUAAAGCGCACGUAGGCGGAUGUGUCAGUCAGGGGUGAAAUCCCGGGGCUCAACCUCGGAACUGCCUUUGAUACAGCACGUCUCGAGUCCGGAAGAGGAGAGUGGAAUUCCUGGUGUAGCGGUGAAAUGCGCAGAUAUCAGGAAGAACACCAAUGGCGAAGGCAGCUCUCUGGGACGGUACUGACGCUGAGACGCGAAAGCGUGGGGAGCGAACAGG
This 253-nucleotide ribosomal RNA is filed under the name uncultured bacterium. RNAcentral's name for it is "partial 16S ribosomal RNA". It matches the Rfam family "Bacterial small subunit ribosomal RNA", at positions 524 to 776 of the family's 1533-position model. The record is from RNAcentral.